AGUGAACGCUGGCGGUAGGCCUAACACAUGCAAGUCGAACGGCAGCACAGUAAGAGCUUGCUCUUACGGGUGGCGAGUGGCGGACGGGUGAGGAAUACAUCGGAAUCUACUUUUUCGUGGGGGAUAACGUAGGGAAACUUACGAUAAUACCGCAUACGACCUACGGGUGAAAGCAGGGGAACUUCGGACCUUGCGCGAUUGAAUGAGCCGAUGUCGGAUUAGCUAGUAGGCGGGGCAAAGGCCCACCAAGGCGACGAUCCGUAGCUGGUCUGAGAGGAUGAUCAGCCGCACUGGGACGGAGACACGGCACAGAGGCCUUCGGGAGGGAGCGGUGGGGAAUAUUGGGCCAUGGGCGCAAGCCUGAUCCAGCCGUGCCGCGUCGGUGAAGAAGGCCUUCGGGUUGUAGAGCCCUUUUGUUGGGAAAGAAAAGCAGUAGGUUAAUACCCCGCUGUUCUGACGGUACCCAAAGAAUAAGCACCGGCUAACUUCGUGC
This 493-nucleotide ribosomal RNA is filed under the name uncultured bacterium. Its description in RNAcentral is "partial 16S ribosomal RNA". It matches the Rfam family "Bacterial small subunit ribosomal RNA", at positions 29 to 508 of the family's 1533-position model. The record is from RNAcentral.